This 497-nucleotide ribosomal RNA is filed under the name uncultured bacterium. RNAcentral describes it as "partial 16S ribosomal RNA". It matches the Rfam family "Bacterial small subunit ribosomal RNA", at positions 28 to 507 of the family's 1533-position model. The record is from RNAcentral.
GAUGAUCGCUGGCGGCGUGCCUAAUACAUGCAAGUCGAGCGAACGGACGAGAAGCUUGCUUCUCUGAUGUUAGCGGCGGACGGGUGAGUAACACGUGGAUAACCUACCUAUAAGACUGGGAUAACUUCGGGAAACCGGAGCUAAUACCGGAUAAUAUUAUGAACCGCAUGGUUCAAAAGUGAAAGACGGUCUUGCUGUCACUUAUAGAUGGAUCCGCGCUGCAUUAGCUAGUUGGUAAGGUAACGGCUUACCAAGGCAACGAUGCAUAGCCGACCUGAGAGGGUGAUCGGCCACACUGGAACUGAGACACGGUCCAGACUCCUACGGGAGGCAGCAGUAGGGAAUCUUCCGCAAUGGGCGAAAGCCUGACGGAGCAACGCCGCGUGAGUGAUGAAGGUCUUCGGAUCGUAAAACUCUGUUAUUAGGGAAGAACAUAUGUGUAAGUAACUGUGCACAUCUUGACGGUACCUAAUCAGAAAGCCACGGCUAACUACGUG